GACGAACGCUGGCGGCGUGCUUAAUACAUGCAAGUCGAACGGAAAGGCCCUGCUUUUGCUGGGUGCUCGAUUGGCGAACGGGUGAGUAACACGUGAGUAACCUGUCCCUGACUUUGGGAUAACUUCAGGAAACUGGGGCUAAUACCGGAUAUGAGCUCCUGCAGCAUGUUGUGGGUUGGAAAGUUUCGGCGGUUCGGGAUGGACUCGCGGCUUAUCAGCUAGUUGGUGUGGUAGUGGCUUACCAAGGCUAUGACGGGUAGCCGGCCUGGGAGGCUGACCGGCCACAUGGGGACUGAGAUACGGACCAGACUCGUACGGGAGGCAGCGGUGGGGAAUAUUGCGCAAUGGGCGGAAGCCUGAUGCAGCAACGCCGCGUGCGGGAUGACGGGCUUCGAGUUGUAAACCGCUUUCGCCUGUGACGAGGAGUGAGUGACGGUAAUGGGUAAAGAAGCACCGGCUAACUACGUG
Molecule: ribosomal RNA, 468 nt
Filed under: uncultured bacterium
Lineage: Bacteria
Description: partial 16S ribosomal RNA
Rfam family: Bacterial small subunit ribosomal RNA
Source: RNAcentral